AAAGUAAAUAAAAUAAAGCGUAGACAUAAAGUAAAUAAAAAUAAAGCGUAGACAGAAAGUAAAUAAAAUAAAGCGAGACGGAAAAUAAAUAAAGUAAAGAGAGACGGAAAAUAAAUAAAAUAAAGCGAGACGGAAAAUAAAUAAAAUAAAGCGAGACAAGUAAAUAAAUAAAUAAAAGCGAUAAAUAAGAACCUGCUCCAAAUGGUACGUAGGCACAAGUCCGGAGGUCUUGUCAAACACAAAAAUAUAAUUAAUGAAUUC
RNAcentral lists this long non-coding RNA (261 nucleotides) under Lathyrus oleraceus (garden pea). RNAcentral's name for it is "Pisum sativum (pea) long non-coding RNA (PSAT_LNC020630)". Lineage: Eukaryota; Viridiplantae; Streptophyta; Magnoliopsida; Fabales; Fabaceae. The record is from RNAcentral.